CUGGGCAUGGUGGCGGGUGCCUGUAGUCUCAGCUACUCGGGAGGCCGAGGCAGGAGAAUGGCAUGAACCCGGGAGGCAGAGGUUGCAGUGAGCCGAGAUCUCGCCACUGCACUCCAGCCUGGGCGACAGUGCGAGACUCCGGCUCAAAACAAAAACAAAAACAAAACAAAACAAAACAAAAACAAAAAACAAAAAGCACAAAACCUUUCCCUAAUGUUAUUAACAAAUUAAAUUAACUGUAUUGGAAGGCUACUAGGUUUUUGAGCAAAUUGUUUUGUCAAAGAAGCCACGAGCCUUGUCUGCUAUUACAGAUGUUCAACCUUUAAAGAGAGUUCUGUGUCCCCAGUCUGCAGCGGUACAAAAUGGGCCAUGCAAGCUGCUCAGCCCCAGUGCUUUCUUGAUAUGUAGUCAUGGAGCAUAGUGUCCAAGAAACAACUUCCAGAGGACACAGACAAGAGCCACAGAGGACAAAGAACUUGAGAGUUCUUCCCAGAGCACAGAAUGAGUGGCUGCCCAUAGAGUUAUCUAAGGAACAUACUAUACUGCUGGAAAAGUGAAUCUUGACUCUUCCAACUGGCAGGAGCUGAUCAUUGGUGUAUAAAUGGCUGCUGUUUUGGGUUUUUUUUGUUGUUGUUGUUCUCCUCUUCUCAGAAUGAGAGUCCUAUUGCAGUUUUCUGGUUGAUAUUCCACCAUAGUAUUUUGGGGUUGCGUAUGACAGAAAAAACAAAAACAAACAAACAAAAAACUUAUUUUAACCCAGAGAUCAUCAGACAACAUGUCACAUUCAGGCUGAUGAAGAAGAAUGUGAAUCACUCAGAGAUUCUAGCCCUCAGUUAUCUAGAAUCUUGAUGAAGAAACCAUGGUUUUCUAUCUUUGAUAGGAAUGAGUGUGUUCUAUAUGGACAAGGAAGGGCAGGCCUAGAUAUUUGCAUCACAAAGGGGUAGACUGUAGUAAAGACUACUGGUUUUCUUUUCAUAUCUAUCAUAUCCUUUUCCUAUAAUAAGAUAACCACAAUUUUAGGCAAAGAAUACUAGCGAAGAACAAAAUUUCUGACUUCCCAUGCAGCUAAGUGUGGCCAUUCUGAAGUAUAGAUUUGAUGCUUUGAACUGAAGUGGCCACCUUGGACCAAAAAAUAACCCUGGGAAUGAAUGUUACAAACUGGAACAAAAAUCAUAGAAGGGGCUAUGUCCUUGAUACAGUGAUGCUAUUCCAAGUGCUGAACUGUCUAUUGUGGGCUUCCAUAUGAGAG
This 1249-nucleotide long non-coding RNA is filed under the name Homo sapiens (human). Its description in RNAcentral is "HSALNT0293104". The record is from RNAcentral. Lineage: Eukaryota; Metazoa; Chordata; Mammalia; Primates; Hominidae.